Molecule: long non-coding RNA, 3387 nt
Filed under: Brassica napus (rape)
Lineage: Eukaryota; Viridiplantae; Streptophyta; Magnoliopsida; Brassicales; Brassicaceae
Description: long non-coding RNA (BNAP_LNC007802)
Source: RNAcentral
AAUGGCGUCGUUAGCCUCAUCUCUGCAGUCUCUGAAGAUCUCCUCCUCCCCAUUCACCCAUGGCUCCACUCCACUCUCUUCUCUCUCCAAACCCAUUUCCUUUCCGAACACUAGGAAGCCUGGUCUAGUCCCGGGGAUAAGAGCCAUGAAGACGAUGCAAGGACGCGUCGUGUGCGCAACGAACGACAAGACGGUGGCGGUGGAAGUGACGAGGCUGGCUCCACACCCGAAGUACAAGAGGCGAGUGAGGAUGAAGAAGAAGUAUCAGGCGCAUGACCCUGAUAACGUGUUCAAGGUGGGUGACGUUGUGAGGCUUGAAAAGAGCAGACCCAUCAGUAAGACUAAGUCUUUCGUCGCACUUCCUGUUCUCAAGAGGAAUGAUCUUGGGAUUCCGAUGGAGUCUCAGCAGCCGUCGCCGCCGCCAGGGGAAGAGUAGAGAUUGGUUGUUUAUUUGUCUUUGUCCAAACUUGAGUUGUAAUUCAGUUGAACUGUUGUUGUUCUUGGAAUGUGUAUUUCUUUUUCAGUUGAACUACUUGUUGUGUGAAGACUCUUUUUUUACCUACCUCCAGAUCUUCGUGUCCUUAUGUUUCCUGAAGAAACACGAUGUUGUUUUUACAUGGUGAAGCAACAAAGGCUCAAUGGUUCUUCCAUCUCCAAUUGAAUGUGUCCAUACGGACCAUUUUUUCUGGACUUCAAUUGGUAGGUCUAUUAUAAAAGGGACUCUCCAACCACAAGCCCUUGGACCUGUGGUAGAACCAAAUGUACUGCAGCGAUAAGCUCCCUCUUCUUACAUUCCCAUGCUUUAGUUCAAAAGCAAGCUACUCUACACAAUGUGACAAUCAAAUAGCUUCCAUUUCAUAUUCCAACCAAAUGUCAAUACAGGAUGAUUUGUAUUAGGUCUCCUAUUACCAAACAAAAUAAAAAAGUGAGUUGAAAAAUUCGAAACAAAACAUGAGUGAUCUUCUUGUCCCUUUUUGUGAUGAGUUUCUUCAUCUGAAACCUCCAGAAACAAAACAAAAGUAAGCGAAACCAAGUCCGAUCAACACAUUAACCCAAAUCUUAUCUUCCAUACUCUCCUCCCACGACACCUCUUCUAUCCCAAACAACUCGCAAGCUUUUCCCUCUCUCAUUAUACCCUCCAUACACCCUAUGCUGCCCGGCCACCGUCACAGCCGUGGGGGAACAAAAGCGAAGACAAGCCGGAACAAGGACCCAUCAGCACCACCGCCACCAAACACCGAAAGAGGACUAUGCAGGAAAGACUCAUCUAAAGCAGGGGCGUCUUAAAUGGGGGACAAUUAGAACGACCGCCACCGGGUCCAAUCUGAUGUCUUCCCACUUCUACAUAGUUAAGGGUCCGGCUUUUAAAAUAUACAUGUGAUUUUAUGUUAAAAUAUAUUAUAAAGGGCUAAACUUCUUUAAUAUAUAUAUAUAUAUAUAUAUAUAUAUAUAUAUAUAUAUAUAUAUAUAUAUAUAUAUAUAUAUAUAUAUAUAUAUAUAUAUAUAUAUAUAUAUAUAUAUAUAUAUAUAUAUAUAUAUAUAUAUAUAUAUAUAUAUAUAUGUAUAUUUGUUUUCAUCACAAUUUUUGUAAAAAAAUAUUUAUAAUUAUUUGUUAAUUAAAAACAAAUUAUUUAAAACUUUGAACCGUUAUUAGUUUUAAGGGUCCAAAAUUCUUUUUGUAAUAGGUCCGUAAAAUUUUUGAGCUCUCAUCGAAAGAGUUAAAAAAAAAAGGAUAGAAAGGAGUUUUGGUGCUACUAGAGAUAUAGUAUCUCACAUCGAAAAUUGUAAGAGACAUUAAAUAAUACAUAAAGAUUUAGAGCCAGUCCAUUUAUUAUCAAUUUGUUUUAAGUUAGAAAUCCAUAAUAAUCUCAAAUCUAAUAUAGUAUUAGAAUAUGAUCCUAAAAACCCUAAACCUCUGAUUAAUAUAACUUUUUUAGUUAACGCAGUUACGAGAUUUUUGCCUGAUAAAAAUUAUCGUCUUGAAGAGGGGUAUUAGGGAUAUAGUAUCCCACAUCGGGAAUUUAAGAAAACUUUAUGUCAUAUACAAAGAGUUAGAGCCAGUUUACUUCUCGCAAUUAAUGUUAAGUUGGAAGUCCAUAAUAAACUCGAAUCUAACAUGGUAUUAGAACAUAGAUCCUAAAACCUCUAAUUAAUAUAACUUUUCUACUUAACUCUCUGGAUCGGGUAUAACUGUCUUACGAAACUCGUUCGACCGAAUAUAAAAAUUUUAAAUUUGCAAGAUUUUUGGCCGAUGCUGCCGGGAACUCCUUUCAAGACCCAGUGCUUUCCUCCAAAAUGGCAAGAUUUUUUUACCCAGAUUCAUCAGUUCAAACACUGUCGCACCUCCUCUCCACAACCACCACCCAACAACUCACCGCCUCUCCCCUCUUUUGGAAAGAAGACACCGUUAAAAGUUAAAACCCAAAACUUCACACUUCACAUAUAUGAUAGGAAAAAGAAACCUAAGUCACGAGGGAGCACACAAAAGAUCUUCUCCUCAAAAAAUCUAGAGAUACAAAUUAUUACUGGAAAUGCUCCUAGAUUUGUAAGAGCAUUUCCAAAAAAUCUAGACAUGCACAACCCCGUUUUUCCGCCACUUGAAAUUUGAUUUUUGAAAUGCUCCUGAAUUAAACUCAGAGAGCUAAUGCAAUACGUAAGUGGUUUUUGAAGUCAAGAGUAAACGACUUUAAUGAAUAAGAUGAAAAAAAUCUACUACCUCUGUCUCUGAAAGUAAGAUUUUCUAGAGAUUUUACGUUUAUUAAGAAUAUAAUAAAUGUUUAUAAUUUAAUUUAUUAUUUAUUUUCUAUAUAAUUUUCAAUUAUUCUUCACCAAUUAAAUCUAAUCAAUUCAAAUAUUUGUAAUUAAUAUUUCUCAAAAAUAUACAAAAGUAUCUUGAAAAUAUAAAAAAAUUAAUUUUGUGAAACAAGAAAAAAUUUAGAAUAUCUUACUUUUGAGAACGGGCCAAUAUAUAAAUAUAUUUUGCUUAUAGAGAUCCAUGAUUAGACCCAAUAGUCUAUUAACAGCCCAAUAUUCAAGUGGAUCACACAUCUGCUUUCCACUAUAUAAAUCUCACCUUAUCUUCUUCGUCCCCCUCAAUCAAUGGCGUCGCUAGCCUCAUCUCUGCAGUCUCUGAAGGUCUCCUCCUCCCCAUUCAACCAUGGCUCCACUCCACUCUCUUCUCUCUCCAAACCCAUUUCCUUUCCGAACACUAGGAAGCCUGGUUUAGUCCCGGCGAUAAGAGCCAUGAAGACGAUGCAAGGACGCGUGGUGUGCGCAACGAGCGACAAGACGGUGGCAGUGGAAGUGACGAGGCUGGCUCCACACCCGAAGUACAAGAGGCGAGUGAGGAUGAAGAAGAAGUAUCAGGCGCAUGACCCGGAGAACGAG